CAUAACCUCGGGAAACCGGGUAUAAUACCCGAUAGGUCUCGAUUGCUGGAAUGCAUCGAGAUUUAAAGCUCCGGCGCCUAAGGAUGGGUCUGCGGCCUAUCAGGUAGUAGUGGGUGUAGCGUACCUACUAGCCUACGACGGGUACGGGUUGUGAGAGCAAGAGCCCGGAGAUGGAUUCUGAGACACGAAUCCAGGCCCUACGGGGUGCAGCAGGCGCGAAAACUUUACAAUGCUGGCAACAGCGAUAAGGGAACCUCGAGUGCCAGGUUACAAAUCUGGCUGUCGAGAUGCCUAAAAAGCAUUUCAUAGCAAGGGCCGGGCAAGACCGGUGCCAGCCGCCGCGGUAACACCGGCGGCUCGAGUGGUAACCGUUAUUAUUGGGUCUAAAGGGUCUGUAGCCGGCCGGAUAAGUCUCUUGAGAAAUCUGGCAGCUUAACUGUCAGGCUUUCAGGAGAUACUGUCUGGCUCGAGGCCGGGAGAGGUGAGAGGUACUUCAGGGGUAGGGGUGAAAUCUUGUAAUCCUUGAAGGACCACCAGUGGCGAAGGCGUCUCACCAGAACGGACCUGACGGCAAGGGACGAAAGCUAGGGGCACGAACCGGAUUAGAUACCCGGGUAGUCCUAGCCGUAAACGAUACUCGCUAGGUGUCGGCCACGGUGCGACCGUUGUCGGUGCCGUAGGGAAGCCGUGAAGCGAGCCACCUGGGAAGUACGGCCGCAAGGCUGAAACUUAAAGGAAUUGGCGGGGGAGCACCACAACGGGUGGAGCUUGCGGUUUAAUUGGAUUCAACGCCGGACAUCUCACCACGGCGACAGCAGAAUGAUGGCCAGGUUGAUGACCUUGCUUGACAAGCUGAGAGGAGUGCAU
Molecule: ribosomal RNA, 867 nt
Filed under: uncultured archaeon
Lineage: Archaea
Description: bacterial SSU rRNA
Rfam family: Archaeal small subunit ribosomal RNA
Source: RNAcentral